Sceloporus undulatus (fence lizard) is the source of this 2945-nucleotide long non-coding RNA. RefSeq lists it as uncharacterized. Lineage: Eukaryota; Metazoa; Chordata; Lepidosauria; Squamata; Phrynosomatidae. The transcript has 4 exons. The record is from RefSeq and is a predicted model, not a curated record.
UGCCUCUGUCUCCUCCUCAACAUCUCUAAAUGGUUCAAAAUAUGGAUGAGCAAGAGCUUGUGUGGCUGUAAGACGCUUCUCCACAUCCAGCUGCAACAUUUUGUCAAGCAAGUCCACAGCUGCAAAAAGGGAGGUCCCUUUAUAUCAGGGCUGGGCAACCUAAUUUCAUGAAUGUGGUGGCUAAUGAGACCGAAAGGAGAGAAGGGCAGCAUGGGGAGAAUGGUUCAGCCAACUGGAGAGAUCAUCAUCAUCAUCAUCAUCAUCAUCAUCAUCAUCAUAUUUAUUUCUAUCCCGCCUCUCCACCAAGAUCACAGUGAAAGCAGGCUCUCUUCUCUAUUUUGGUUUACUUCAGUUGCUAAAGGUACCACUAAAGGAAUAUUUUCCAACUUGAUAUCCUUCAGAUUUGUUGGACCACCCACCAAACAUGUAGACUUUGAAUUUGGAAGUUGUAACUGGAGAACAUAUGGAGAUCAUCUAAAAAGGAUCAGAAAUACAUCCUACAACACUGUUACAAAGAUUAAGCUUUAAAAUGCUUUUGUGUCCUUCUGGUUAUAUUCCUGGUGUUCCUUUGCAAGUGAGCAAGGCAAAAAUACACUUUCUGGUCCUUCAGUCAUUAUGUUGUUAAUUAUGAAUACAGAAGUGAUUCUAUUCAAGUCAUGAGAACAUGAAUAAUAAUAAUAAAAAUCUGUGCCAGGAAAGCUGAAGUUUACAACUUGUGUAAAUUCUGCAAAUUAAUUAUAUCCUACUUGUUUACAAGGUGUAUUUCAAGCACAAGGUGAGGACCUUUAUUUAACACUUUUUUUCCUCACCCAGUUUUAUGAUUAGUUUUCACUUCUAACACUUUGGAUUCUGAUUUAUGCCAAGUAUGUUUGCUGGUGGUCUGCUUACAAUAUUUUUAUUUUUUGUUGCAACCAAAGUGGACAACUUGGACAGUCUAUGUCUGUCCAAUAAAUUAAUAUUGUCCAUUGCUCCAGAGGACAAGAAUGGAACCAGCAACUGGAAAUUCCAGGGGCCCAGAUUUUGGCUAAACAUUAUGAGAAGUUUCCUAAUGCCAAGAGCAGUUUGACAGUGCACAUUUGGGAAGCAGUGGGUUCGGUUCUCCUUUACAAGAGGUAUUCAGUGAAAGUCCAGACAACCAUCUGUUGAGGAUGCAUCCUGCAUUAUAGAGCUGGUGUUGGGCUGUGUGGGGACUAGGUUAAGUAAUUUUUCAACUAUAAAAAAUUUGAUAUAGCUGAUUAUGCUGCAUUAUCAACAUGACUAUAGAUAUGAUUAACGCUAUGUGAUUUUAUGAUAAAUUAUAGCUGAGAGGCACUGCCUGCCAACCAGUUAUCAUGCUGUAGAUCUCCCUUCCCCACCACCAUCUCUGGCCAGGCUUUCGAGAUUUUGUCAGGCAUUGCACACCAUCUCUGAGCAUUGUAUUUCUAGAUAUUAAGUUAAGGCCAGAAUAUGCUAGAUGCCCCAUCCCUUGAAAAGCUGCUAUAGGAGUAGUAGAGAAAAGUUGGGUUGGCUUGGAUUCACAGUGUGAAUCAUGGAUUUACUUCCACAUACACUGUAUCACUUUCUAGAUGUCAUUUCCCUUCCUCAAAACUCUUAGGAAAUUAAUUUACAUGAAGAAAACUGGAUGGCAUGAAGAGUAGAUAUAGCCCAAGAGGAGGAUCCAGUGCUGGAUGUCUGCUGGCAAAACAGCAGAAUUCAGGGGAAGUGGAAAGGGGUGAUAUUUCCUUCCAAUUGCAGCCCCUUGCUCUCCAAAAAAACUGAUCAAGAAGGUUGUAGAAUUCUCCAGAACCAGUUUUCAUGUAGCUCUGAGGACUGAAGGGGAAGGGAAUAAGUUCAGCCAUGCUGGCAUGAGAGUAUCACUACCAAACUGGAUUUAAGCCUGCAAUCCCAGUUGAAAAUUCAUGGCUACUUUUUAUUUAUUUUUUUAAUCAUGGAUACUUUUUUUUAAAAUCAUGGUUGCUUUUUCCUUAAGAAAGAUGAUCUGAUCAGCAGUGAUGGUGAACCUUUUACAGACCAAGUGCCCAAACUGCAACCCAGACCCCACUUGUUUAUUGCAAAGUGCCACGUCCCUCUGGCUUUCUAGUAAGAAACUCUGGCAAACUCUGUGCUAGGGCGACAACAUGUCUGCCCAUAGAGAGGGUCUGAGUGCCAGCUCUGGUACGCGUGCCAUAGGUUCGCCAUAAUUGGCUCUAGUAUCUCAUCUAGUUCGACCCCUCAACCUAGUUUUUAAAAAAUAAAGGCUAAAGCUAAAAUUUCCACUAUGUUGAAUUCUGCACAUAAGACCAAAUUCAAUUUGUCACUGAAAAUUUAAUGAAAGAUCUCUGGGUACUUGCUAGGAUAACUCAGUCGUUUUAGAUAUUGCUGCUACAAAAGAGAACAUCUGUUUGGCAUUCAGGUUUUGACAUUAUGUAAUUGUGAUUGAUACAUACUACCUUCUUUCAAAAUGAGGUCUGGCAUUAUGUAAUUGUGAUUGACAUAUACUUCUUUCUUUUGAAAUGAACUUCGACUAUUUUAAGGGACAAAAUGCAAACUUACAAGUCCUGGAAUCCGUCAAACGAAGUAGCUGAUGUGAAAACAUCAAGUAACCCAAUGACCUGUAGAAGAGGUAGAUUUAUAUUUCUAAGAUUAUGAAGAAAACUAUAGGACAGUAGUGCUUCCCCCCACUAUAAAAAUACCCUCUCAUAAGCCCCAAAAGCUGAGCCAUAUUUCAAUACAGCUUGAAAACUUUCCAAACAAUACGGUGGGGUACCUAUAUUUUAUAUUUUGGGUUGUACCCAAGCAAGCUCCAAGUCCAGGGACUAAUUGGAAUAUUAGGACAUGUGUUUUCAUCUUAAUACUGCAAAAUUUGCAAACAUUGUAAGAAUAGAAACAGAUGAUGAUUUGGUUAUUUUAAUAACUGUGCAUGUAUUUUUGUGUGCUUUUAUUGACAUUUUGUAAUUGUAUUGUUC